This 775-nucleotide ribosomal RNA is filed under the name uncultured Neocallimastigales. Its description in RNAcentral is "partial large subunit ribosomal RNA". It matches the Rfam family "Eukaryotic large subunit ribosomal RNA", at positions 24 to 649 of the family's 3401-position model. The record is from RNAcentral. Lineage: Eukaryota; Fungi; Neocallimastigomycota; Neocallimastigomycetes; Neocallimastigales.
UAUGUGAUCGUCUCUCGCAUAUCAAUAAGCGGAGGAAAAGAAACUAACAAGGAUUCCCCUAGUAACGGCGAGUGAAGCGGGAAGAGCUCAAAUUUGAAAUCUUAAAGGGUUUCCCUUUACGAAUUGUAGUUUAAAGAAGUGUUUUCUGUUGAGGUUUUGGUAAAAGUUCUUUGGAAUAGGACAUCAUAGAGGGUGAGAAUCCCGUAUUUGACCUUUACUUUCAACUUUGUGAUACACUUUCAAAGAGUCGGAUUGUUUGGGAAUGCAGUCCAAAAUGGGUGGUAAAUUUCAUCUAAAGCUAAAUAUUGGCGAGAGACCGAUAGCGAACAAGUACCGUGAGGGAAAGAUGAAAAGAACUUUGAAAAGAGAGUUAAACAGUACGUGAAAGUUGUCAAAAGGGAAGCGUUUGACACCAGUGUUGUUUUUCUGAAAAUCAAUUAAAGAACUGUUUAUGCUAAGCUGUUUAGACUUUAUCAGCUAACUGUUUAGUUUUGAGCUUUUCUUUAAUGCACUUUUCAGUUAACAAGUCAACAUCAAUUUCUUUUGCUGUAAAAAAGCUUGAGGAAGGUGGCUUGAGAUUCGUCUUAAGUGUUUAUAGCCUCUUGCCUAUGCAGUCGGAGAGAUUGAGGUCUGCAGCGUAGAUCCUUCGGGGCUAAAUGCAUUUGUGCUAAGUUAUAACAUUUUAUAGACAACUUGUUGACUAUGAUUUGUCUUGUAGCUUACUCGCUUAUGUUAUUUUACCUACGCUUAGGAUGUUGAGUAGCGACAUACGCAC